CCCAAAACAUCGUAUGUCAAAUGCAGUUAUUGAUAAAAUGAACAACAAAAUAAAAAAGUUGAUGCGUCUCACAUCGGGUUUUUUUUUUCUUCGUAGUGAUCUCACAUCGGUUUCAUAAAGAUGAAUGUGUUUCGCAUGAUCUUGCAUUAUCAAACUCAAUUCUUCAAUCCUUUCAACCAAUUCAAGAAAGUUGACAUUUCUAUAUUAAUAUAAUUUAUUUUUUGGGAAUCUUUGAAAGACAAAAUUAAGAUUAAUUUCUCUAAUAGGCCCAUUUUCAACUAUAAUAGAAUGGGAAUUACUUUUCCCACCCUGUGGGUUUCCUCGCGCGCCUUAUUUUUUCCAAAAAUGCCCUUGAGUAUCCGGAUUUUAUAAUCCGAAAUGGUGUUUUCUUUUAUUAAAUGGUGAAAAAAAUGAGUAACGGAUUUUUCCGGAUUUUGUAAUCCGGAAACUUCAAAAAAUAGGGCAUGUUACAUGAUGUUUCCGAAUUACAUAAUCCGAAAACCCCCUAAACACCCUUUUUCAAGGUAAAACAGUUCGGAUUAUAUAAUCUGAACUGUAUCAGCACAAAUUCUAAACAUGUUUGUAACAUGGAUAGUCAUUUUAGGGAUAAUAUUAAUCUUCCUAACUCUCAUCCUUCUGUUUUGGGUUAUUGUUACCUAUUCUUAGUCAAAAAUCGGGUUUUCAGGCUACUUGAUCGGAUUGCUCCGAAACUUCCCCAGAAAACAGAAAAAAUUCAAGGAUCAUGACUCCCCUACAAGGGACUUCUUACGGGAUUCCGUCCUUCAAAAUCCAAAAUUCCAUCGUUUAGACACAUUUUUCAUUUUUUUUUUUAUUUUUCAUAUUCUCAGAAAAAUCCGAAAAAAAUUUCAUUAUUUUAUUUGAUUUUUAGAAUUUUUUGUGCUAUUUUUAUGAUUUUAUUUGACAGGUUUUUAGCAUUUUUACUUAGUUUUUUUUUUUGUUGUUUUUAAAAGCAAAACUCAAAGCUGCUGAAAUGUGAGAGAGUUUGAUGGCUGAUUAUACCUAAGAAUUGUCCGGAUUAUAAAAUCCGAAAUAGUAAACAUGAAUCCGGAUUUUAAAAUCCGAAAUGCACAAGGGCAUUUUUGGAAAUUUUACAAGGCGUGGGAGAAUGUCAUUGGGUGGGAAAAGUAAUAGUCUAAUAGAAUUUGUUUUGUUUUGAAAAUUAUCCCAAAUUCUUGGAAAAUAAAUAUCAUCAAUAUUUUUAAUAUUAGUGAGGCACAUUAUUAGGAACAUAGGACCCAAAAAAAUAUCACCAAUUACUUCGAUAAUAAUUUUUUGAGCAUAUUAUUAAGAACAAUCAAAAAAAUUUAUAGGAGGGUAUAUAUAGAAAUUUUCAUUAAAUUAAAAAUUUCUAUAUAUACCCUCCUUUAAAAAUCCUAUGAAUCAAAUAAAAUGUGAUAAUUUUAAAAACAUUUAAUUAAACGUAGAGACUAUUCUUCAAAUGACGCAAAAUUUAAGGAUUAAAAACAUAUUUAACAUACCUCUUUGGCCUAUGAUUGCUGUUAGUAUCAAAAUAAGUGAGGAAUGCAUUCACUGGGGCUGCUGUUGAGCUUUACGAUUGGUAUGUUUUUUUGUAUUAACAUACCUCUUUGGCCUUCCAUUUGAAUUAUCCUAAUGCUCUGGAAAUUUGAAGUGCACAAAUUUUCCGUUUGUGAAUUAGAUGAUCCUUUUGAUAUACUGAGCAGCAUAACCUUGUUGAAUCACACUGUUCUGUUU
This 1734-nucleotide long non-coding RNA is filed under the name Medicago truncatula (barrel medic). Its description in RNAcentral is "long non-coding RNA (MTRU_LNC003189)". Lineage: Eukaryota; Viridiplantae; Streptophyta; Magnoliopsida; Fabales; Fabaceae. The record is from RNAcentral.